UCUCUCUCUAAUCUCUCUGAACCCUUCACCACCACCACCACCAUCACCCCACAACCUUCACCACCGCCACCCACCCCACCCCACCUCAGCCUUCACCGCCUCCACCCCCACCUACCGACCACCCCAACCCUACUGCGCCAACCAUCACCACCGUUUCUCGCAGCGGCCGCAAGUUGCAGCGGUACAAUCAAGGCCAACGUCAAGUCAUUGGAUGUAUAUAUUACAGAUUAGCAAAAUGCGAUCAGAUGUGAAUUUAUAAGAUGCAUUAGAAGUUCUUGUGAUCAGUGCACAAAGAAAAGGCAAAGGAAUGUUGUUCCCUAAGGUAUUUACAAGCCACUGUUAACCACCGCACCACUACAGACAACCAACAAUCCGGGAAGCAUGUUUACACAGUGGGAGAUAUGAAUAAACAUGGGAUUUUCAGAUGCAAAUAUUUUAUUUUAGGACGAAAAAGUGCAAAUUUGGUCCGAUUGUAUGGUGGUUGUAGAUGAUGAAGGGAGGUAGUGGUGGCGGUGAAGGGUGGUGGUGGAGGUGGAGGAUGGUGGUGAUAAGUGCCCCUUGA
Molecule: long non-coding RNA, 562 nt
Filed under: Helianthus annuus (common sunflower)
Lineage: Eukaryota; Viridiplantae; Streptophyta; Magnoliopsida; Asterales; Asteraceae
Description: hypothetical non coding rna
Source: RNAcentral